Molecule: long non-coding RNA, 788 nt
Organism: Mandrillus leucophaeus (drill)
Lineage: Eukaryota; Metazoa; Chordata; Mammalia; Primates; Cercopithecidae
Exons: 3
Source: RefSeq, a predicted model, not a curated record
GCGAAGGCCAGCGAGAUGAGCAGCAGCGGCAGCCCCACGGCAAUGCACGUAACCAUCUUGUCCACGGCCAGCUCCAGUCGCAGCCCCUUGAACUUAGGCUCGGUGGGCUCCUUCAGCAAGAAAUCGGAGAACACGUACUCCGUGGCCAGGUGGUCGCUGACCUGGCAGGUUAUCAUCCACUUCCCAGGAUUCUCGGCUAUCAUUUCUGUUGUAAGGAAGGUGGCUGGGAACAGGUUGACGACAUCAGUCCGAUGCCCUCUGCUGAUGAAGGUGUUACCAUAGAAAUAGAUGGAAUGGAUGUCUAUCUCAUUCCCCAUUCCAAAUAGGUGCCAGGACACAGAUUCACCAACACACAUAUCAGGCUCAGGGAAGUUUCCGAAGAGGUAUCCAUUGAGGGCUGGAAAUAGAAACACACUAGUGGAAAAGACUCCCCUGCAGAGGCGACCAGGACCAGAAAUGUUGAAAAAACACUCAAUGAAAGCGAAGAUCAGCACACACUGAAAACAGCCUCGGAGCUGCUGUGAGAACGCAAUAAUGAGGUCAGGAGAAAACAGAGUGCUGCUCAUAUUUACAGGAGGCUCAGUCACCUUCUGUCCUAAUCCUUCACUGGCAUAUCUGCUGUCUCCACCAGAUUUUGUGCUCCUUGGAACUAGAAACCCUGUUUUGUUCAUCUUAACAGUUAUCAGGACCUAGCAGAAAAACUGGCACAUAGUAUCUACUUACUGAAGUGUCAAAAGCAUAUAGUGAGAUGGAAAGAAAAGGAACUGAUUAAAAGGGAUUUAUGAGAA